AGUGAACGCUGGCGGUAGGCCUAACACAUGCAAGUCGAACGGCAGCACAGUAAGAGCUUGCUCUUACGGGUGGCGAGUGGCGGACGGGUGAGGAAUACAUCGGAAUCUACUUUUUCGUGGGGGAUAACGUAGGGAAACUUACGCUAAUACCGCAUACGACCUACGGGUGAAAGCAGGGGAUCUUCGGACCUUGCGCGAUUGAAUGAGCCGAUGUCGGAUUAGCUAGUUGGCGGGGUAAAGGCCCACCAAGGCGACGAUCCGUAGCUGGUCUGAGAGGAUGAUCGGCCACACUGGAACGGAGACACGGUCCAGACUCCAACGGGAGGCAGCAGUGGGGAAUAUUGGACAAUGGGCGCAAGCCUGAUCCAGCAUACCGCGUGGGUGAAGAAGGCCUUCGGGUUGUAAAGCCCUUUUGUUGGGAAAGAAAAGCAGCAGGUUAAUACCCCGCUGUUCUGACGGUACCCAAAGAAUAAGCACCGGCGAACUUCGU
RNAcentral lists this ribosomal RNA (490 nucleotides) under uncultured bacterium. RNAcentral describes it as "partial 16S ribosomal RNA". It matches the Rfam family "Bacterial small subunit ribosomal RNA", at positions 29 to 506 of the family's 1533-position model. The record is from RNAcentral.